CCAUCAAUGGUCAAACAAGGU
Molecule: unclassified non-coding RNA, 21 nt
Filed under: Dictyostelium discoideum
Lineage: Eukaryota; Evosea; Eumycetozoa; Dictyosteliales; Dictyosteliaceae
Source: RNAcentral